Molecule: long non-coding RNA, 560 nt
Organism: Daphnia pulicaria
Lineage: Eukaryota; Metazoa; Arthropoda; Branchiopoda; Diplostraca; Daphniidae
Exons: 2
Source: RefSeq, a predicted model, not a curated record
AAAUCGUCACUUCCUUAUUCUUUUAAAUCCCCUAUAUCAUGUGCACAGCAAUAAUAACAGGCAAAGACCUAAUAAAUUGUCAGCUACCUGCACUGCGUUAAGCAAGGAUGACUAGCUUUUGCUUCUUCUUUUCUUGUAACGAACUCUCAGAUUCGUAGCAAAGUUGCGAAUUUUAAUUAGAGUAGAAAAUACAAUUUCCAGAUGUCUUCGAUGGGAAUUGAAACCAGGAGUCCGGCGUGGCAAAUGGAGACUAUACCACUAGGCUAUAAGGUAAUGAAUUUUGGAAAUGAAAUAUUAUUAUAUAUUUUCAGCCAAUACUCUUUUAGGAUAUGAUCUACUUCCGGUAAUAGUUCGAUCAGGAUAUGCGACCAUGGUAUAGUGGUUAUAGCAUCUAGCGUUGUAUCCAAAUGUCCCGUGUUCGAUUCCCACUUCCGCCACAUUGUCCUCCAUUGUUGUUCCCCAUAUCGCUCUGUAUAAUAUAACCAUGCAUGUACUAACCCUUACUAAAACCAACUACUAAACCACUACUACUAACUACUGUUAAACUAACCAUGCAUGUA